GACGAACGCUGGCGGCGUGCUUAACACAUGCAAGUCGAGCGGUAAGGCCCUUUCGGGGGUACACGAGCGGCGAACGGGUGAGUAACACGUGGGUGACCUGCCCUCAGCUCUGGGAUAAGCCCGGGAAACUGGGUCUAAUACCGGAUAUGACUCCAUGACGCAUGUUGUGGGGUGGAAAGCCUUGUGCGGCUGAGGAUGGGCCCGCGGCCUAUCAGCUUGUUGGUGGGGUGAGGCCUACCAAGGCGACGACGGGUAGCCGGCCUGAGAGGGCGACCGGCCACACUGGGACUGAGACACGGCCCAGACUCCUACGGGAGGCAGCAGUGGGGAAUCUUGCGCAAUGGGCGAAAGCCUGACGCAGCGACGCCGCGUGAGGG
This 377-nucleotide ribosomal RNA is filed under the name uncultured bacterium. Its description in RNAcentral is "bacterial SSU rRNA". It matches the Rfam family "Bacterial small subunit ribosomal RNA", at positions 28 to 407 of the family's 1533-position model. The record is from RNAcentral.